AACGUAGGGCGCGAGCGUUGUUCGGAAUUACUGGGCGUAAAGGGCUCGUAGGCGGCCAACUAAGUCAGACGUGAAAUCCCUCGGCUUAACCGGGGAACUGCGUCUGAUACUGGAUGGCUUGAGAUUGGGAGAGGGAUGCGGAAUUCCAGGUGUAGCGGUGAAAUGCGUAGAUAUCUGGAGGAACACCGGUGGCGAAGGCGGCAUCCUGGACCAACACUGACGCUGAGGGAGCGAAAGCCAGGGGAGCAAACGGG
Molecule: ribosomal RNA, 254 nt
Filed under: uncultured bacterium
Lineage: Bacteria
Description: partial 16S ribosomal RNA
Rfam family: Bacterial small subunit ribosomal RNA
Source: RNAcentral